GAGGCUCAUCUGGGUGGUUCUCUAUCAGCUACCCCAGUGUGUGCUUACGUAUCAGACAGGCAUCCCAAGCUGUGGCAACACUAGUUGUUUUAGAGGGAGAGCUGAAGGACGCUGGCUGAAAAGGAGGGCAAUGCUCCAUUUCUGAAGGAAAAGCCAUUCGCUGCAGGAAUCCAAGAGAGAAAGGGUAUUUACCUCCUUCAAGGAAUUUGACCUACAUCCAAACAGCACUCACACAACUAGGACAGGCAGCUGCCAUUUCCACUCAGACCUUUGCAAGUCCAACACAAUCUAAUGGGCAGAAGGCGGCCUGAUCCCAGAUUGCUUAACAGUGCCUGGAGGGGCUGAUUCACCAAAGUUCGAUGCUCUGAUGAACAGCUUGCUGCAGCUCUAAUGGAGAAUGGCUGAUUCUGCCAGAAUUCUUUGAAAGUUUGUUUUCAAGACUUUUUUUUUUCCCAAGCUUUAAUAAAUUGUUGGAUUUAUCCAUUUUUCUUCUUGC
Gallus gallus (chicken) is the source of this 496-nucleotide long non-coding RNA. NCBI's taxonomy places the organism in Eukaryota, Metazoa, Chordata, Aves, Galliformes, Phasianidae. The record is from Ensembl.